This 1173-nucleotide ribosomal RNA is filed under the name Bacillus amyloliquefaciens. Its description in RNAcentral is "bacterial SSU rRNA". It matches the Rfam family "Bacterial small subunit ribosomal RNA", at positions 45 to 1202 of the family's 1533-position model. Lineage: Bacteria; Bacillati; Bacillota; Bacilli; Caryophanales; Bacillaceae. The record is from RNAcentral.
UGCCUAUACAUGCAAGUCGAGCGGACAGAUGGGAGCUUGCUCCCUGAUGUUAGCGGCGGACGGGUGAGUAACACGUGGGUAACCUGCCUGUAAGACUGGGAUAACUCCGGGAAACCGGGGCUAAUACCGGAUGGUUGUCUGAACCGCAUGGUUCAGACAUAAAAGGUGGCUUCGGCUACCACUUACAGAUGGACCCGCGGCGCAUUAGCUAGUUGGUGAGGUAACGGCUCACCAAGGCGACGAUGCGUAGCCGACCUGAGAGGGUGAUCGGCCACACUGGGACUGAGACACGGCCCAGACUCCUACGGGAGGCAGCAGUAGGGAAUCUUCCGCAAUGGACGAAAGUCUGACGGAGCAACGCCGCGUGAGUGAUGAAGGUUUUCGGAUCGUAAAGCUCUGUUGUUAGGGAAGAACAAGUGCCGUUCAAAUAGGGCGGCACCUUGACGGUACCUAACCAGAAAGCCACGGCUAACUACGUGCCAGCAGCCGCGGUAAUACGUAGGUGGCAAGCGUUGUCCGGAAUUAUUGGGCGUAAAGGGCUCGCAGGCGGUUUCUUAAGUCUGAUGUGAAAGCCCCCGGCUCAACCGGGGAGGGUCAUUGGAAACUGGGGAACUUGAGUGCAGAAGAGGAGAGUGGAAUUCCACGUGUAGCGGUGAAAUGCGUAGAGAUGUGGAGGAACACCAGUGGCGAAGGCGACUCUCUGGUCUGUAACUGACGCUGAGGAGCGAAAGCGUGGGGAGCGAACAGGAUUAGAUACCCUGGUAGUCCACGCCGUAAACGAUGAGUGCUAAGUGUUAGGGGGUUUCCGCCCCUUAGUGCUGCAGCUAACGCAUUAAGCACUCCGCCUGGGGAGUACGGUCGCAAGACUGAAACUCAAAGGAAUUGACGGGGGCCCGCACAAGCGGUGGAGCAUGUGGUUUAAUUCGAAGCAACGCGAAGAACCUUACCAGGUCUUGACAUCCUCUGACAAUCCUAGAGAUAGGACGUCCCCUUCGGGGGCAGAGUGACAGGUGGUGCAUGGUUGUCGUCAGCUCGUGUCGUGAGAUGUUGGGUUAAGUCCCGCAACGAGCGCAACCCUUGAUCUUAGUUGCCAGCAUUCAGUUGGGCACUCUAAGGUGACUGCCGGUGACAAACCGGAGGAAGGUGGGGAUGACGUCAAAUCAUCAUGCCCCU